CCAAACGCCCCAAACCUCUGUGGGGCGCGCGACGGGAGGGUCGUGGAACUUUCGCCUCCCGAAGCACAAGCACUCCGGGGCUGGCCUCGAAAGAAGAGUGGGGCUGGGAGCUACCAGGUGUCAGCAUCCUCGCCCUUCCCGGAGGUCCUGGAAGCCCACUCUUUCUCCCAGGAUCCCGCCUCGGACUCAGGUGGGCGAGCCCUUUCUUUCUCCAAGUCGGUUCUCUGUUCAAGAGUUCCGCGCCGUGGGAAGGGGCG
Sorex araneus (European shrew) is the source of this 257-nucleotide long non-coding RNA. RefSeq lists it as uncharacterized. The record is from RefSeq and is a predicted model, not a curated record. NCBI's taxonomy places the organism in Eukaryota, Metazoa, Chordata, Mammalia, Eulipotyphla, Soricidae. The transcript has 3 exons.